CGCUAUCCCACAGUCCGCAGGGGGGCGCUCUGCCCGCCGCCUCCUCUCUGUGGUCGGCCGCUCCUUGGCGGGCGGCUGAUAGGGGGCGGUGCUUGAGCGGCGCGGACCAAUCCCGACAGCGCCGCCGGCGUCGGGAAGCCUCCUAUUGGCCGGCCCCGCAUCGCGCGGGGACCAAUCCCCGCCGCCGUUGGUUUGGAAACCGGCGGCGCGCGGCGCGGGGCCCGCAGAAGGGUCCCGGCGGGGCCGGGCGCAGGGUGCGGAGCCCCCAUGGCGUCUCGCGGCCCCCCCGGCGGCGGGGAGAGCCGGGCCACGGAGCCCCGCGGGACGCCCCCGUUCCGGGCGGACCCGGCGGCGCUGGCCGCGAUCCUCAGCGGACCGGGCCCGGGCCCGGGAGCGCGGCCCGAGGCUCGGCCCGGCGGCGCCGUCAGGGCCUCGCUGGCCGGGCGCGUCCCGCUGCGGCUCGGCUCCCUCCGCACGCAGAUGCGCGCCCCCGGUGCCGCCGCCCGCUGCUGCCGCCGCUCAGCGCCCCGCUCCCCGCAGGCCUCGCGGCCGCUCCAGCGCCACCUCGACCGCGCCUCCGGUUUCUCUGUUCGGGCUCCCGGGGGCCCCCCGCGCCCCCUCGCCCUCCCUGCCGCCGCCCCGGUUCUCGAGCGCCGCGGCGAAGCCCCGAAGGAGGCGGCCGGGGCCCGGUCCCGCAGCCUGAAAAAACACACGGACCAGGAUCCCUCCGCAGUGGUGAAAGCAGAGACCCUCCCGGCUGCGCUGGCCCCUGUCCUGCCCAGUGAGCAGCUGAGCGAGACGGGGGGAGCCACGGGGGGCAGACCCUGCCUGGCCCGCCGAGUGCCCGCCCGCGUCCCCUCCUCGGCCAGGGGCACCGCAGGAGCUGCCCGGGGGGCACAGGGGCUCCCACAAACCGCGGGGGGAGCCCAAGCUGAACCGCCAGGUUCCCUCCUUACCCAGGAGAGCGCGUCCAUGCUCCCAGACCGCCCCUCGAAUGAAAGCAGCACCCCAGGCACUGACCCCCCCCGAGCAUCUGGACCCUCCAACGUCGGCUUGGCUCGCCGUGUGCCCAUCACCAAGGCCAUGCGCUUUGAGGCAUCCAAAGAGCGCUUCUUCCGCACGCCGCGCCUCACCCCCCGCAGCCGCGUGUUGGGCACCCACCAGCGCCCCCUGAAGUGGAGACUGGCCCUGUCCCCCCAGCCUGGCCCCAGCACCGAUGCUGCUGAGAGCAAGGAGGAGGCCCCACCCUGGGAGAACAUCGUGGUGCAGCUCUUCAGGGAGGACGAGGGCCAGCAGGAGCCCGAGGGGCAGACACCGGCUCUGCCCAGCACCUCGCCGAGCUCCAGCACGGCUCAGGACAGGGCCGUGGUGCAGCUCUUCUGGGGGGACAAGGGCUGGCAGGAU
Molecule: long non-coding RNA, 1404 nt
Filed under: Anser cygnoides (Swan goose)
Lineage: Eukaryota; Metazoa; Chordata; Aves; Anseriformes; Anatidae
Description: lncRNA (ENSACDG00005008718.1)
Source: RNAcentral